GAUGAAGAACGCAGCGAAAUGCGAUAAGUAAUGUGAAUUGCAGAAUUCAGUGAAUCAUCGAAUCUUUGAACGCACCUUGCACCCUUUGGCAUUCUGAAGGGUAUGCUCGUUUGAGUGUCAUUGUACUCUCACACUCCCGAUCUUUGCAUUGGGAGCAGUGGACUUGGGUUUGCUGCUUCACCGUCGCUUACCUCAAAUAGGUUAGUGCAACUCUUGGUUUGACAUAGUACGGCGUGAUAAGUGUUCUUCGCCGGUGCCUCGCAAAGAGGGUGGCCGAUCGGGAUGUUGUGCUCCAAACCGUCUUCGGACAAUCUCUGACGACUUGACCUCAAAUCGAGUAAGACUACCCGCUGAACUUAAGCAUAUCAAUAAGCGGAGGA
This 380-nucleotide unclassified non-coding RNA is filed under the name soil metagenome. RNAcentral's name for it is "partial contains 5.8S ribosomal RNA, internal transcribed spacer 2, and large subunit ribosomal RNA". The stretch from base 1 to 120 matches the Rfam family "5.8S ribosomal RNA", at positions 35 to 154 of the family's 154-position model. The record is from RNAcentral.